ACGCACGCUGGCGGCGUGCCUAAUACAUGCAAGUCGAGCGAAGUUUUUCCGGUGCUUGCACCGGAAAAACUUAGCGGCGAAAGGGUGAGUAACACGUAAAGAACCUGCCUCAUAGACUGGGACAACUAUUGGAAACGAUAGCUAAUACCGGAUAAUAGCAUUAACUGCAUGGUUGAUGUUUAAAAGUUGGUUUUGCUAACACUAUGAGAUGGCUUUGCGGUGCAUUAGCUAGUUGGUGGGGUAAAGGCCUACCAAGGCGACGAUGCAUAGCCGACCUGAGAGGGUGAUCGGCCACACUGGGACUGAGACACGGCCCAGACUCCUACGGGAGGCAGCAGUAGGGAAUCUUCCGCAAUGGGCGAAAGCCUGACGGAGCAACGCCGCGUGAGUGAAGAAGGAUUUCGGUUCGUAAAGCUCUGUUGUUAGGGAAGAAUGAUUGUGUAGUAACUAUACACAGUAGAGACGGUACCUAACCAGAAAGCCACGGCUAACUACGUG
Molecule: ribosomal RNA, 498 nt
Filed under: uncultured bacterium
Lineage: Bacteria
Description: partial 16S ribosomal RNA
Rfam family: Bacterial small subunit ribosomal RNA
Source: RNAcentral